UACGGAGAGCGCAAGCAUUAAUCGGAAUUAUUGGGCGUAAAGGGCGCGUAGGCUGAAAGGUAAGUCAGAUGUGAAAUUCCGAAGCUCAACUUCGGAGCUGCAUUUGAAACUGCCAUUCUAGAGGGUUGACGGAGAAAACGGAAUUCCACGUGUAGCGGUGAAAUGCGUAGAUAUGUGGAAGAACACCAGUGGCGAAAGCGGUUUUCUAGUUAAUACCUGACGCUGAGGCGCGAGAGCAAGGGGAGCAAGCAGG
This 253-nucleotide ribosomal RNA is filed under the name uncultured bacterium. RNAcentral describes it as "partial 16S ribosomal RNA". It matches the Rfam family "Bacterial small subunit ribosomal RNA", at positions 524 to 776 of the family's 1533-position model. The record is from RNAcentral.